This 301-nucleotide ribosomal RNA is filed under the name uncultured bacterium. RNAcentral's name for it is "partial 16S ribosomal RNA". It matches the Rfam family "Bacterial small subunit ribosomal RNA", at positions 509 to 807 of the family's 1533-position model. The record is from RNAcentral.
CAGUCGCCACGGGAAUACGUAGGGUGCAAGCGUUAAUCGGAAUUACUGGGCGUAAAGCGUGCGCAGGCGGUGUUGUAAGACUGAUGUGAAAUCCCCGGGCUCAACCUGGGAACUGCAUUGGUGACUGCAACGCUGGAGUGCGGCAGAGGGGGAUGGAAUUCCGCGUGUAGCAGUGAAAUGCGUAGAUAUGCGGAGGAACACCGAUGGCGAAGGCAAUCCCCUGGGCCUGUACUGACGCUCAUGCACGAAAGCGUGGGGAGCAAACAGGAUUAGAUACCCCCGUAGUCCCUGUCUCUUAUAC